UUUUUUUCUCUACCCACUCCUUUCAAGGUUCCAACUACAUACCUUGAGCUGCUGAACCCUGAAACUCCAAAAUUCCUGGUAUUUUAUAUGUGCCAAUGAACAACUGAGUUCUUUUUAUGUGAUGAAAAAACUGAAGAAAGUAAAUUCUCAGACAAAUCGUAAGAAACAUUGGAGUUUUUGUUCAAGCUUACUGCAAGCCAAGCCAAAGGAUUCUCUCUUGGGAGAAAUAUGUAUGGAAAAGAAAGAAAAAGAGUACUCAAAGGAGGAAGAAGAAGUUACAAGAAAGAAGACACAGAGGAAGGCAAAUAAACGAAAGCCUGGUUGAAGAUGGCCUGCUCCACACUGUCAACAGGUGGGUGGCCAACCCACUUCCCAGAAGAGGCCCUCAACUCAGUAACACAUGCAGUGUCCAGCAUUUGAUUAGGAAUGCUAAUUACUUCCCAUAACAGGCCUAAGACCUUUUAAAGUAAGUAAGAACAUUUCUGUCCCCAGGCCAUGUUCUCUCUCACUUGUUUUUCCUCUCUUUACUCACAACUAAUAAACCCCGUCAAGUUUUUAAAUUAAAAAAAAAAAACAGGAAAUAGGUAUUUAGGCAAUACCAAAGAGACAUGGGCACUACCCCUUCGCUACAAUGCACUCAGUGACAAGCCUUUCUGUGUGUCUAGCCAUCAUUUCAUUCUUCUAGUACGUUGUGCCCCAAUGGAAAGGUUUUCACUGACAUAUUACGGUCUGACUUCUAUCUGCUUACUGUAAUGCCAUUGCUGCCCCUCCAAUCUGCUUUUUUGUGCAAAGGGCUCUACUGGCUGUGGGCUCUAGAAUAGCAGUUUGACCAGGCAAGCAAUGAGAACACCAACAGCUUAGAGAAUCAAUCCUGUUGGCGUCGUUUUAUUUAAAUCUUCUAUUAAAGAGAGUUCCUGGGGUACCUGGAUUGCUCAGUCAACUUAAGCAUCCGACUUCGGCUCAGGUCAUGAUCUCACAGUUCAUGGGUUCAAGCCCCUCAUUGGGCUGACAGCUCAGAGCCUGGAACCUGCUUCAGAUUCUGUCUUUCCCUCUCUCUGCCCUCCCCCACUCAGGCACUCUCUCUCUCUCUCUUUCUCUCUCAAAAAUAAAUCAACAUUAAAAAAAAUUUCAAGAGCAUUUGUAACAUAUGCCAAAAGUAGGCAGAGGAUGAUAAACUUUUGUAUACCCAUAACCUAGCUUCAAUAAUUGCCAACUCAGGCUUAUCAUAUUUAAUCUCUCCUCACCCACUUCUCUUCCUCUUGUAUUAUUUUGAAGCAAAUCCCAGACAUAUCCUUUGGUCUGCAAACUUUUCACUGUGUAUUUCUACACCAUAAAGUUGAUUCUAUAUAAACUCAUUACCAUUGUCACAAUUUAAAGAUUGGGGCGCCUGGGUGGCGCAGUCGGUUAAGCGUCCGACUUCAGCCAGGUCACGAUCUCACGGUCCGUGAGUUCAAGCCCCGCGUCAGGCUCUGGGCUGAUGGCUCAGAGCCUGGAGCCUGUUUCCGAUUCUGUGUCUCCCUCUCUCUCUGCCCCUCCCCCGUUCAUGCUCUGUCUCUCUCUGUCCCAAAAAUAAAUAAAAAACGUUGAAAAAAAAAUUUUUUUAAAAAAAGAUUAGCAAUAAUCCCUUAAUAUCAUUAUAUUUCCAGUAAGAGUUCAAAUUUUCAACUGCUUCUUGAAUGUCAUAAUUUUAUUUUGCAGUGUGUUGGAAUCAGGAUGCAAAUAAGGUCUACAUGCUGUGAUUGAUUGGUAAGUCUUUUAAGUGUUUUUAUAGGUUCUCUUUCUUCUCUCUCUCUCUCUGCCCCUAGUCCCUGCAAGGUGUUUACCGAAGAAACCAUUUGGAGUCUUAUAGAAUUUCUCAAGGUCUGGACAUUAACAUGCCUUUGUGGCAUGCCUUCUUGGAAAUUGGUAGGUAGAGCUAGACACUGCUGGCUUGUUUUUAAAUUACAUUUGUAGCUUACUUUAGCACUAUUUCUGUUAUGAAAUGUUACUAUUUCUCCAAAUAAGUUGCACUUGUCCAAUUUUCAUGUGUUUCAAAG
RNAcentral lists this long non-coding RNA (2036 nucleotides) under Lynx pardinus (Iberian lynx). The record is from RNAcentral. Lineage: Eukaryota; Metazoa; Chordata; Mammalia; Carnivora; Felidae.